ACUGCCUCAGUCUGACCCUAGCCUAAGAUCAAGUGUAGUAUCUGUUCUUAUCAGUUUAAUAUCAGAUACGCCCCCUAUCUGGGGGCCAUAUAUUAAAUGGAUUUUUAGAACAGGGAGAUGGAAGAAGAGCUUGCUCUGUCCACUGCACAGAGAAAAAAAAAUACCUAAA
Molecule: small nuclear RNA, 169 nt
Filed under: Leptobrachium leishanense (Leishan spiny toad)
Lineage: Eukaryota; Metazoa; Chordata; Amphibia; Anura; Megophryidae
Description: U2 spliceosomal RNA (ENSLLEG00000004863.1)
Rfam family: U2 spliceosomal RNA
About the family: U2 is a small nuclear RNA (snRNA) component of the spliceosome (involved in pre-mRNA splicing). Complementary binding between U2 snRNA (in an area lying towards the 5' end but 3' to hairpin I) and the branchpoint sequence (BPS) of the intron results the bulging out of an unpaired adenosine, on the BPS, which initiates a nucleophilic attack at the intronic 5' splice site, thus starting the first of two transesterification reactions that mediate splicing.
Source: Rfam by way of RNAcentral